AGCUUUUAUUUGUUUAGUGCUUGCACAAAUAAAUGUACACUCGUUUUGAAUUAUCACAUCAUCUAAACCUAUUUCUAAAUAAAGGUAUUACAGCUGUUUGAGACAGACGUAUUACAGGGAAACAAGCCCCGCCCACUCUUUUGUGGGGACAUUUCUUUGCUGUUGUUGUGACGUUGGCAGAAGAGCAGGGCGUUGUUUGUAAACAGUCAACAUGUCAGGAUGCAUCAUGUGCGACUGACACGAGAACAAGGAAUGUGCUCAGGCUGUGAGACAAAAGACAUUAGAAAGACAUUCAGAGACCCACAAAGAGACACAUCAGACAAGGCUUGUUUAUGGUUGUUUUGUGUCUUUUGGUGAUUGGUCCCUUUUUAUAGUCUUUGACUCUUUGUAUCUUUUUGGCGUCGCUUUGUGUCUCUUCAUAGUGGUUAUGGUCUUUCUCUAGAAGCUUUGAGGCUCUUUGUAGUCAAGUAUUUUAUGUUUUUUUGUCUCUGCUAUUGAAGAAUCUUGAAGAAAAGUAGAAUCGAGAAGUUCAUAAUAUUUACACCUUUCAGCCGAUUUAGAUUCAUGAAACGUUCUGAAUUUAUCUAAACUUUUAUGGCUUAUUUUACAUCUGCCUAUUUUCAUCUAAUAAUCUAGUCGAUUCCACAUGUUUUAAUUGUUUUUAAAUGAUGUUUAAAAUCUGUUUCUUUUGCACUCUAUCAUUUGAUGUUCUAUUUGAUGCGACUUGAACUGACUUUUAAUUACAUAUUAAGCAUUGACGUUUGGUGGAUGAGUGACAAUCAUUAAAAGAUUCCAGAAACUAGAAAAACUAGUCGACAACCUACCUCUCCAUCCCUUGAUUGCUCUUUGACUCGGCUCCGAGGCAUUUCUGGGAGCGGUGCCGCCCUGUUGGUGAUCCAUUUGUUUAUUUAUUUAGAUUUCGCUGUCUCAUUACAUCAAAAGAUUUGCAAAUUGUUUUUAUUUCUAAAGCGCUGAUAAUUAUUUUUAAAUUAGAUUCCCAUUUAGAUACAUGUCAUUUCUAACUAAAGAAUCAACAACAGUUCUAAUGUCACAUUAAGGGAACUCGUGGUGUUUUGCUGAAGUAAGGGAAAAAUAUUUUGGAUUAGUUUAAUAAUGAAAAAGAAAAUGGAAUAAUGUGAACGAAGACUGUGGCGAGAUGUUCCAUCCACGACCCGGUUCACUGAGAACAGGGAGGAGCGCAUAACUACUUCACGGCAGGAAAGAAAAGUUAACAUCAAACCAUCUCUGUGAGUGUUUCUCAUCUCCAUUUUCUAUUUCUAUGAGAUAGGUUUCCUGCCUUUUCUCGAAUACAAUGUUAUGAAAUGAUAUAAUUGAUCUUUAUCAUUUGUAAUACAUGUAUCUGUAUUCUGAGUGUAGAUCAUUUUUUAAUUAUUGUCUGUGUUCAGCUAUAAAUGUGUUAUGUCUUGAUAUUUAAAAGUUGUUCUUUUAAGUUAACUAAGAAUAUUAUAUUAUAAAAGAAAGUAUGCUAAUAAUACCGGUAUAUGGUAUAAGUUUGUAUUGACAUAAAAAACAUUAUGGUGUUGAUGACAAUUUGAAGUAAAUAUAUUAUUAUGUAAGAAAGUACUAAAUGUAAUUACGAAAUGUAUUACUGGUUGAAACAUACCUGGCGUAAAUUAACAGAUGUCUUUCUACAACAGGGAACAACUUUUCAUUGAGGAUGAAGAUCUGUAUCGUCCUACUUCUGUGUGUUGGUAAGCUUAAUUGCUUGCAAAACAGUAAAUCUUUCAAAUAUUCAAUCACAAUAUUCAAGUUCAACUAAUUCAUCCAUAUCAUUUCUGAACAGCGUACACAGAAACAACAACAGCAACUACAGAUGCACCCGCAACAACAACAGUACCAGCUGCAUCAACUAUAGUAGCAGCCGCAACCACUACAGUAGCAGCUGCAAGAACAACAGUUCCAGCAGCAACAACUACAGCUGCACCCGCAACAACUACAGUAGAAGCCACAGCAACUACAGUACCAGCUGCAUCAACUACAGUAGCAGCCACAACAACUACAGCUGCACCCGCAACAAAAACAGGGCCAGCCGCAACAACUACAGCUGCACCCGCAACAACUACAGUGGUAGCUGCAACAACUAGAGUACCAGUCGCAACAACUACAGCCAACCCAACAACAACUGCAGCAGCAGCAACCUCCACAGAUGCUCCAGCGGUAACUACAGCAGCUCGACCAACUACAGCUGCACCCGCAACAACUACAGUAGCAGCCGCAACAACUACACCACCAGCUGCAACAACUACAGUAGCACCCGCAAUAACGACAGUGGCAGCCGCCUCAACUACAGUAACAGCCGCAACAACCUCAGCCAACCCAACAACAACUUCAGUGGCAGCAACCACCACAGAUGCCCCAGCCACAACUACAGUAGCUCUAACAACUACAGCUGCACCCGCAGCAUCUACAGUAGCUGUAACAACUACAGUACCAGCUGACACCACUACAGUACCAGCUGCAUCAACUUCAUUGGCAACAGCAAGAACUACAGUACCAGCUGCAACAACCCCAACCAACCCAACAACAGCAGCAGCAGCAACCACAACAAGUUCCUCAGCCAUAAAUACAGCAGCUCUAACAACUACAGUACCAGCUGCAACAACAGUACCAGAUGCAUCAACUACAGUUGCACCCGCAAUAACGACAGUGGCCGCCGCAACAACUACAAUACCAGCUAAAACCACUACAGUACCAGCUGCGACAACUACAGUAACAGCCGUAACAACCACAGCCAACCCAACAACUAAAGGAGCGGCAACCAGCAGAUUCCCAAGCGACAACUACAGCAGCUCUAACAACUACAGCUGCACCCGCAGCAACUACAGUAGCUGUAACAACUACAGUACCAGCUGACACCACUACAGUACCAGCUGCAUCAACUUCAUUGGCAACAGCAAGAACUACAGUACCAGCUGCAACAACCCCAGCCAACCCAACAACAGCAGCAGCAGCAACCACAACAAGUUCCUCAGCCAUAAAUACAGCAGCUCUAACAACUACAGUACCAGCUGCAACAACAGUACCAGAUGCAUCAACUACAGUUGCACCCGCAAUAACGACAGUGGCCGCCGCAACAACUACCAUACCAGCUAAAACCACUACAGUACCAGCUGCGACAACUACAGUAACAGCCGUAACAACCACAGCCAACCCAACAACUAAAGGAGCGGCAACCAGCAGAUUCCCAAGCGCCAACUACAGCAGCUCUAACAACUACAGCUGAUCCCGCAGCAACUACAGUGUCAGCCGCAACAACUACAGUGGCAGUUGCAACCACCACAGAUGCUCCAGCCAAAACUUCAGCAGCUGUAACAACUACAGUAGCACCCGCAAUAACGACAGUGGCAGCCGCAACAAAUAAAGUACCUACAGCUGCAUCAACUACAGCCAACCCAACAACUACUGCAGCAGCAGCAGCAGCAAUCACCACAGAUGCCACAGCAACAACUUUAGCAGCUCUAACAACACAGUAAACGCCACAACAAUCCCAGCCAUGCAGGAACGACUACAGCUACCCCAGCUACAACUACAGCAGCUAUAACUACAGCUGCACCAGCAACAACUACAGUAACAGCUGCAACAACUACAGCCAACCCAACAAAAAAACUGCAGCAGCAGCAACCACCACAGAUGCCACAGUACUUUGGUGUAUAUACAUAAUUUUUCAGGAACAAUCGUGAACAGUCCAUGCGGUUAUGAAGUGAAUAAACAUGAUUUGUCUGAGCUCAGGUCACAAGAUCUAUGGUGGACUUGAGGUGAGCUUCCAUAUCAAACCCGAGUGUUCUCCGAGGUUCUGUUGAGGUGAGAAGAGAAAGAAAGUAACUGAGGAUCACAGUAAAUUCAGAAAGUAACCAUAUUUUUGAUCUAUUUCAAUGUUUUUCAUUUGUAGUUUUCAACAUUUUUAAAACAUGGUCAUUUAAUCUAAAUAAUGAAAUUUCAACAAAGUUUUAGCGUCCCAUAAAUGUUUUAUUAGAUCAUGACUGUCGCUGCUGGCGUUCACUUUGUGCAGAAGAUAAAGAACAACCAACCCAGAGCCUGAUUAAUAGACUUACCGUACAUCAGACUCCACCUUGUUUUAAUGUUGCAAUUAUAAACUUGCUGAACUUGUGUUCUUGUGGACACACGUACGGGCACCUUAUGGGGAUCGGCACAUAGUUUACAUGAUAAACCGGAUCACAUGGCUUUCAUAUUACAAGGACAAUAUGUUUCAUCCCCAUAAAACUGCAACCUGGAACAACUAUAAUGUUUUAUUACACGUCAUUUAUGUUAUUUUAGAAGAUAUUUUGCAGCAGAUGCGUCAAAAUAUAAGCAAUGUCUUCCUGUGUUUUACAUGCAUCUACACGGAGCCAUUUUGAAUACUUUUGAUCAUUUCACUGGAGCAAAUCAACUUAUUGGGGAUUGACUGAUUGAAUUGGUGGAAUCCUCAGGGCUGAGUAUGAGUAAUGAACUGGUUCAAACCUUUUGCUUGAUGGCUUUACAACUUUUACAAAUAACAACACCUUCUGUCCCAGGACCGCAAAGAAAAAACCCUCCAAAAGGUUACAGAAUAUGAUAAUAGAAUAUGUAAAAUGAGCUGUUUCUCCUGUCAGGAGUGUGUGACAAGUUCUAUGCAGUUAUCUUUUACGUCUUGUAUAUGUCAAAUACAUUUUGGGUAUCAAGCUCUGACAGGAAUGUAAUUAGGUGCAGCUCAAACGAUAAUCCGGCCUCGGCCUGUUUCAUAAACGCACAAGCAUCACAGCUCAUUCGGCUUUAAGGGAAGCACGUUAGAGGAGAAACCUGUUGUGUAACACGACCUUUGGGUUGGAAAGCUGCUCCAGGGACAAUGGGAACAUGUUAAAUCAGCUGCUCGGCCGCUCUGAUGUCACAUGUUCACAGAGUUAUGAAAACCUAAUCUCGCUGUUGAUAAAAUGUGUGCUGCCAAAAUAUAUAUUUUUUUUACAUUACAUGUCAUUUAGCUGACGCUUUUAUCCAAAGCGACUUACAAUAAGUGCAUUCAACCAUAGGGGUACAAACUCAUAAGAACAAGAAAACAGAAAGUGCAAUUUCCUCAGAUAAGCCAAUUUACAAUUUGCUAUAGAUGAGUGGCGUUAUAAGUACAAUUUAAGUGCCACAAUUUGUUAGUCAAGAAAAUACUGAAAAGUCCUUUUGUUUAAUAACAAACUUUUGUCAGCGGGAAGAUUUUUAUCAUAUAUUUUUUUACAUUUCAUUUCUUGAUGCAUGUACAUAACACACGUUGCAUUAUUAUUUGUAUUUAUGAAUAUAUGUAUCGUGAACUCUGCCCUCUUUGACUUCGAGGCUCCCGUUGACCUUCUGACGGUUCAGCCUGAUCUCCAAAACCUGUAUACAAAAAUUGAACAUACAAAUUCGUAGUGAUACAUACUAAAUAAAUACUGUAACUGAUGACGUCACCCUAUUCAAAGUGAAUGGGGACCUGCACCCCGUAAACACACUUUGUGAAGUCUAACGAUGUAAAAUAAACGUGUUAUGAUUGCAUUUUUAACGAGAAAUCAAUAUUAAAUUGUAAGAAUCGAAUACUAACCCUAACCCCCUCAAAAUAUCCAACAUGGCGGAGAGACGGUCACUCAAGAAUCCAACAUGGUCCGACAUGUUGUUCACUCAAGGGGCGUGGUUAACCCCCGCCAGUUCGUAUGUUCAAGAUUUUCGUAUACAUUUUUACGAACAGGUUUGGGAGAUUACGUUGGACGGUUUGCUUCUGUCACGUCAUAACGAGCCCUUUGUGUCAUUCACAUCAAAUGGCGACUUGGUCCAAGGGAAUUACCCACAAGUCAUUGCAAUAAACACAGGAUAUCCAAAAAUAUUAUUGAAGACAAGCUCUCAUCUUGAGCAGAAAGAGCCUGACAGACAUUCAAAUCAGAGAAUAAAAACUUAACUUAAUACCCUCAUUUUGUAAAGCAUACGUUGAUUGGCAUGUGAUGGAAAAGUGCAGAUUCAUAUUUACACAAACUAGUAACAAGUGAUGCUGUGACGCUUUUGAAAGUAAUGAACUUAUUCAAAUAUGAUUUCUUUAUAAUGACUCACAAUUCUCAAUCUGGACAUAAAAGCUGUCUUGACGUCAGACAAAUGAUCUUGUUUCAGAUUCAGGGAAGUUGUAUGUAGUGAACAAUGGAGCCAGCUGACUAAUAGUAUUUACGAACCAGAAGACAAGUAAGUCAGAGUUAUUUAAAACACCAAGUCAUGAAGGGCAAAUGUCCCGGAACCUGUUUGACGGGUUGACAUACGUUGAUUUAAUUAAUAGUACAUUACUUUCACCACCCUUACACUGUCAUCAGGGCCACAACUUUUAAUGAACCUGGGAAAUGAUAUAGUCGUUCCCAAGUCUACAAAACAGUUUUUAUGAUUAUGAACUGUGUUAAGGAAUAUUUCAAUAAAAGCUCGGUAGAAGACAAUGAUUUGUCUGAUAAAACAGAGUCUUGAUGAAUGAUCAAAGUUGCAAAAAGUCCAUUUAUUGCUUGCAAGCAGGAGGUCAAAUACACAGGCACGUAUCACGGUGCUCUGUGGAAAUGACGUCUCCGAGCAGUAAGAACGCUGAGUUUUUAUACACAUAUGAAGGACAUUCUCCAUGCCCGUUACGAGAAGCUUCAAAGCGGGUUGAGAUAAGAACCCAGGUGAAGCUGAGGGUAGCACACACACACAAGAUCCUCCUCAGUGGCCGGUACCAAUCAUUAUUAAUUGACAUAAAAGUAAAACUUGGAUCCAGAACUUUCGUACAAAAUAAGAUAUCAACCAAGGCCAUGAACAGGAGUCCUUUGUUUUGAAGCUUCUAUGAGAUCGAGUCAACCGUCCUCCCUUCUCAGGGCACAGCCGCAAACUAACAUUUUGUAUCAUGCUGCUCUUUGCACAUCGGGGUCAAAUACAGGACACUUGAGACACGGCUUUAGCACAAAACAAUGUUAUAACAUAUUUUUACCAUUACAACUGUCAGAGUGCCGGUGGAAUGAACUGGUGCAAACUGUAUGUGCUUUUGGGCCGACAGGGGAACGGGUGAGGAGGACGACCGAUAAUGAGACACGAAAAAGACAGGGUCACAAGUAGCAGCAAGAUACGCCGACGUCAUGCUUCGACUUUAUCCUCCCUCUGGUCGUCCACCGGACAGCCAUGCGUGUCCCUGUCUCCUUCUCGGCUCGUUAGUCCAUGGUGGGUGGUCUUUUGGUCUGUCUCGUUGGUCCGUUUGGUAUUCUUACUUUAAAAAAAGUAUUUCUGCUAUGGAGUCCUUCUUGUCCUGGACUCCCCCGGGACAGACGUAGCAGCACACAGAUGUUGCGGCUGCUGCGACUAGGUGUCCCUCUUCUCCACCCCAUGGGGACAGGUCCACAGAUGAGCACGCUGGAAACGUCUCCCUUCAUCGAAAGCUUUCUUGUGGAUAAAUAACAGAAAAAGGUUUCAGAGGUAAAUGUGUGUUUCUAUGCAAAUAAAAAGGUUUUGUAUUGUUAUUGCAUGUAAUGGUAAAAUAUGUUAUAACACUGUCUUGUGCUAAAGCCAUGUCUCAAGUGUCUGUAUUUGACCCUGAUGUGCAAAAACGCAGAUUUUCAGACGCAGAACUCAAAAGAUUUAAGGUUUCCAUAUGCAGCUGUUUCUGAAGAAGGGAGUUAACUUGCUCUCACAGGCGCUUGAACAAAGGAGCAGUGUGUGUUCAUCUUCACCUGGGUUCUUAUCUCAACCUGAUUUGCAGCUUCUCGUACUUGGCAAUGAGCAUGGCCUUCACAUGUGUAUAAAGACUCAGCGUUUCUACUGCUCGGAGACGCCAUUUACACCAAACGCUGAGAUAUGUGCUCGUGAAUUCGAUCUCCUGCUUGCAAGCAAUAGUUAGAGCCAGAUAUAUCUGCGGAGAAUUGCUCAUGUAAUCUUUUUCUCUUCUAAAUAAAUGUUAACUUUUUGACUUUAAUUGAUCAACGUGUUGCGAUCCUUCUCAUCAACCAACUCGGGGGGAUCAGAGAUCCCGACAGUAUCCGUAUAAAAGACCCAAAUGAUGUCAUUAGUGUGUGUUUGUAACUACAGGUUCCAUUGUAAUUUGAAAUACACUUUGCAGUUCAUGUUGCUUUGUAAUGUGUUGUAAUUCUUUGUUUAGUUCUUUUAUACCUUUUUAUUCAGGCGGGAGUCUUCCCCGUUAUUCGUGUCCCUCCUCAGGAGAUGAAAGCGAGGUGCUGAGCAGAUCACUAACAUGGACGUGAUCCUCUACCACUGUUGCCCGUUUCUGGGGUAAAAUGCGCUCUGGGACAUUCGGCUUCCACAAAUAUGGACCAUUCUGCUUUGCUGCAUUGUGGGUAAAACGGGCAGGGCGAGUCACCUCUGGGCAAUUUGGUUUGACUUUCAUCUGUCUACUUUAAGAUCCUUUCAUCCAGGAACAACAGAACGCUGUGUGAGUUUCUGGUUUAUUUCCCGUUCCUGAUUGAUUCCCAUCUGCCAAUAAAUAAACAUUAAUAUAGUGGAGAGAGGGGACCUGGACGACCUUCUGGUGCAGCGCUGAUGAGCUCACAGCGGUUCGUCUGGUCCUCUGAGGUCUGUACUGGAGAACGUGAUGUUUCUUUGGUGUUUCCUCUACUUCCUCUCCGAUAAAGUCCCGAGCAGGAAGCACACAUAUAUGCACUUUGAUCUGAAAAGUAGAGAAGCUAUAAACAGACUCUUUAUGUUUGACUUUCACAUCUGAUGUGAAGACCCUCGGCAGAGCCCCCUGACGUCCCCUUGUGGUGCCAUUCUAGCAAAGAUGAUGCUUUUAGAACCUGGAGUCACAUGACCUUCCAGGUGUUGGACUGAUCCGAGGCCUUCUGCUGCUCCUCUGGGUCGAUGCUCUCCUCCCGUGUUCAGGUUCUCCUCCUCACAAGGACGGGCGCACACCGCAGGAUAAAGCGGAGGGCGGCGCCUCGGCGAGGCCGGCGUAAGUCAACACCAUGUUUCUAUUUCUAUUCCUGCGCAAAGGAAGCUGCUGUCGUCACAAAGUGAAACCAAAACAAAAUACCUCUGAUCAUUUUACACUAUCUUCCUUUAAAUAUCACAAACAUAUUCCAUUGACUCAUAAUCACAUCGGCUCUGUGCUAUUUAUAAACAUGGUAACAUGUAUAUCCAGUCGAUGUUAUAGGAUUUAAAUGUAUCCUACAAAGACAGAUUUAUAUCAAUCUUCAUCGGAUAAAAUAUUAAUUCCAAAAAAAUAGGGAAUAUUUAUGUUUAUAUUUACUGAUCAAAUAUUAUUCAUGGGAUUUGCUGCAACCAAAAGAGAAGAAGAUUUUAGGAAAGAAAAUCUUAAAAGGGCACCAGGGAGUCAUGUGGCCAAGGCCAUUACUUUAAAUAAACUGCCAUGCCUUCUUAUCCAGACUCUGGUUUGAACUUUUCACCUCGGUUGAAGACACAUGGAAGUUAUGAAAAGAUGAAUUUGUUUUCUUCAGUUCAUUCAAUGCCGGUAUAAUCGGUGUGAGCUCAACAGACAUUGUGAGUCUUUCAUGUAAGUGUGAGAAUAUCCGGGCGAUUGAAAGCAUGAAUGCCUUAUUGUCAUUAUUAACACAGCAGUGAUUGAUACCAUUCAAGUGAUAAUAAUCCACUUUCUGAAUUAACUCUGGCUAAACAGUUGACACGCGUCAUCAUUUGUUUGUACAAUAUAUCCCGAAAAAUAUAAUGACAUUACUUAUUUACUAUUGAUUCACCACUUUUUAUUUAACAAUGUUUGUGAUCCAUAAACAAUACAUUAUAAGACUAGUUUUGGACCCCGGGCCACACUUUGGACCGCCCUUGGGGACAUUUAGUUUUUUAAUGUUGAAUUCAAGUGUUCAAAUUUAGAAAUUGAGGUAGAACUAUUUAAUUUGGCGCUGAAUAAAAUGUUUUAUUUGUUCAGUUUUUAUCACAUCAUCUAAACCUAUUUCUAAAUAAAGGUAUUACAGCUGUUUGAGACAUACGUAUUAUAGGGAAACAAGCCCCGCCCACUCUUGUGGGGACAUUUCUUUGCUGUUGUUGUGACGUUGGCAGAAGAGCAGGGCGUUGUUUGUAAACAGUCAACAUGUCAGGAUGCAUCAUGUGCGACUGACACGAGAACAAGGAAUGUGCUCAGGCUGUGAGACAAAAGACAUUAGAAAGACAUUCAGAGACCCACAAAGAGUAUACAGUUACAGUACAAUUAUCAGUAAUGAAAUCAAACACCAAGCAUUGACAUAAUAAUCACUAUCUUGGCUAAUAUGAGCCGAUGCAAUGGCAUCUUUAACCUUAAGACAACAAACAGGACAAUAGACAGAAAGAGUUGUAUCAAGAGGUCAGAGGGUUGGUUAUGGUAUUUUGUAAUUAUGAUGUUUUUUAAUGAAUGAAGAUGGAAGAGUGGAAAGUUUUUCCAAUUUAAAGAAGUACAAUUACAAUUUAAAGAAUGAAAAAAAGAGAUGAACUUUCAUGUUCCCACUGAGCCACUGAAGUGGAACCUGCAGCGCUGACGGUGCUAACAGGGCUUAAAGGUUCAUAUUUAGACCAUAUUUGACACCUGCGUUCAACUGAGAAAUUGUGACCUGGUUUCUUAGUUAUCCAAAAUGAUGAUAUGCUAUUGUUUCACUACUGAAAAUUCCAGGGAAAUAUGGUCAACAAGAAUCUUGAAAAAAGUAGAAUUGAGAAGUUGGUUAUAAUAUUUACACGUUUCAGCCGAUUUGGAUUCAUGAAAUUGUGAAUUCAUUCUGAAUUUGUCUAAACUUUUAUGGCUUAUUUUACAUCUGCCUAUUUUCAUCUAACAAUCGUGUAGAAGUGUUUUUAAUUGUAUUUCAAAUCUGAUUCUUUGGCAGUCUAUCAUUUGAUGUUCUAUUUGAACUGACCUGAACUGACUUUAAACAACAUAUUACGCAUUGACGUUUGGUGGAUGAGUGACAAUCAUUAAAAGAUUCCAGAAACUAGUCAUCCCCCUACACCCCCAUCCCUUGAUUGCUCUUGUUGCUUAGCAACAACAAUGUUAAGAGCAGACUGUGUGUGUUUGACGUCUGGGAUUCUGCCUCUCUUCCAGUGACUCGGCUCCGAGGCGUUUCUGGGAGCGGUGCCGCCCUGUUGGUGAUCCAUUUGUUUAUUUAUUUAGAUUUCUCUGUCUCAUUACAUCAAAAGAUUUGCAAAUUGUUUUUAUUUUUAAAGCGCUGAUAAUUAUUUUUAAAUUAGUUUCCCCUGUUAGUAACAUGUCGUUUCUAAAAAGUGAGUGUUCUCUGCGUUAAAUCUCCUAUAAAGUAAAAAUAAAGUAGUAUGUAUGCCUGUGUAACAAGUGGAGGAGGAGGUGGAGGAUGAUUUCUUAUUUUCUUAAAUUAUUGUGGUGUGGUUAUGGAGUGAUAUUUAGAACCAGAAAUCAGUUGUUAGAAUGGAGUGGGUCUGAUGCACGUAGACUCAAUCACAUCAAUUCAUCGUCAGAGAUAAUACGUCUUUUAAAAGAAUGUCACUCUGCAGGUUUCUAAACGGUGUUAUAACAUACAGUAUGAAUGACAUAUUACAGGGGUGGCUGCACCUUUGGAAAACAUCAUCAAUGUCUGAUGUCACCUUACAUUCUCUGCAUGGAUAUAAAAGCUGCUUCAUGCUCAGUGGAGAACAUUGACCAGCAAACAGAGAACCCUGAACAGGUGAACAGGAGAGUAUAACUACUUCACGGCAGGAAAGAGAAGUCAAGCUCAAACCAUCUCUGUGAGUGUUUUUCAUCUCCAUUGUCUAUUUCUAUGAGAUACGUUUCCUGCCUUUUCAUGUUUCAAUGUUAUGAAAUGAUAUAAAUUUUAUUUAUCAUUGGUGAUACAUGUAUCUGUUUUCAGGGUGUAGAUGAAUCUUUAAUUAUUGUCUGUGUACAACUAUUAAUGUGUUAUGUCUUGAUAUUUUAAAGUUGUUCUUAACUUAAAAGGUUAAAUUAUUUACAAAAUAGCAUGUUUUAUACUUUCUAAAGAAAGUAUGCUAAUAAUACCGGUAAAUGGUAAAAGUUUGUCAAACAUUAUGGUGUUGAUGAAAAUUUGAAGUAAAUUUAUUAUUAUGUAACACAGUACUAAAUGUAAUUACUAAAUAUAUUACUGGUUGAAAUAUACCUGAGUUAAUAUUAACAUCUAAAAGUCUCUUUCUACAAUAGGGAACAACUUUCCAUUGAGGAUGAAGAUCUGUAUCGUCCUACUUCUGUGUGUUGGUAAGCUUAAUGACUUGAAACACAAUAAAUCUUUCAAAUGUUCCAUCCAAAUUUUAAUUAAAACUGAUUCAUUCAUAUCAUUUCUGAACAGCGUUAGGAAAUGCAGAAACAACAACAGUUGCAAAUGCAGGAACAACUACGGCUGCCCCAGCGACAGCUGCACCUGCAACAACAGUACCACCUGCAACAACUACAGUAGCAGCCGAAACAACAGUGACAGCCACGACCACUACGGUACCAGCCACAACAACUACAGCCAACCCAACAACAACUGCAGUGGCAGCAACCACCACAGAUGCCCCAGCCACAACUACAGCAGCUCUAACAACUACACCUGCACCAGCAACGACUACAGUACCAACUGUAACAACUACAGUAGCAGCCACAACAACUACAGUACCAUCUGCAACAACUAGAG
Gasterosteus aculeatus aculeatus (three-spined stickleback) is the source of this 12554-nucleotide long non-coding RNA. The record is from Ensembl. NCBI's taxonomy places the organism in Eukaryota, Metazoa, Chordata, Actinopteri, Perciformes, Gasterosteidae.